CGGAGGAUCCAAGCGUUAUCCGGAUUUAUUGGGUUUAAAGGGUGCGUAGGCGGUCCUAUAAGUCAGUGGUGAAAGACGGCAGCUUAACUGUCGCAGUGCCUUUGAUACUGUAGGACUUGAAUCUAUUUGAAGUGGGCGGAAUAAGACAAGUAGCGGUGAAAUGCAUAGAUAUGUCUUAGAACUCCGAUUGCGAAGGCAGCUCACUAAGUUAGUAUUGACGCUGAUGCACGAAAGCGUGGGGAUCAAACAGGAUUAGAUACCCUGGUAGUCCACGCCCUAAACGAUGAUAACUCGAUGUUUGCGAUACACAGUAAGCGUCCAAGCGAAAGCGUUAAGUUAUCCACCUGGGGAGUACGGUCGCAAGAUUGAAACUCAAAGGAAUUGACGGGGGCCCGCACAAGCGGAGGAGCAUGUGGUUUAAUUCGAUGAUACGCGAGGAACCUUACCCGGGCUUGAAAGUUAGUGAAUGAUCCAGAGACGGAUCAGUCCUUCGGGACACGAAACUAGGUGCUGCAUGGCUGUCGUCAGCUCGUGCCGUGAGGUGUUGGGUUAAGUCCCGCAACGAGCGCAACCCCUAUGUUUAGUUGCCAGCAUGUAAUGAUGGGGACUCUAAACAGACUGCCAGCGUAAGCUGUGAGGAAGGUGGGGACGACGUCAAGUCAUCAUGGCCCUUACGUCCGGGGCUACACACGUGCUACAAUGGACGGUACAGCGGGCAGCUACAUAGCAAUAUGAUGCUAAUCUCUAAAAGCCGUUCACAGUUCGGAUUGAGGUCUGCAACUCGACCUCAUGAAGUUGGAUUCGCUAGUAAUCGCGUAUCAGCAAUGACGCGGUGAAUACGUUCCCGGGCCUUGUACACACCGCCCGUCAAGCCAUGAAAGUUGGGGGUACCUAAAGCAUGUAACCGCAA
Molecule: ribosomal RNA, 910 nt
Filed under: Sphingobacterium kitahiroshimense
Lineage: Bacteria; Pseudomonadati; Bacteroidota; Sphingobacteriia; Sphingobacteriales; Sphingobacteriaceae
Description: bacterial SSU rRNA
Rfam family: Bacterial small subunit ribosomal RNA
Source: RNAcentral